GGUGUCCUACGGGGCGCAGCAGUGAGGAAUAUUGGUCAAUGGGCGGUAGCCUGAACCAGCCACGUAGCGUGAAGGAUGAAGGUUCUAUGGAUUGUAAACUUCUUUUAUAAAGGAAUAAAGUGAGGCUCGUGCGCCUUUUUGUAUGUACUUUAUGAAUAAGGAUCGGCUAACUCCGUGCCAGCAGCCGCGGUAAUACGGAGGAUCCGAGCGUUAUCCGGAUUUAUUGGGUUUAAAGGGAGCGUAGAUGGGUUGUUAAGUCAGUUGUGAAAGUUUGCGGCUCAACCGUAAAAUUGCAUUUGAUACUU
This 305-nucleotide ribosomal RNA is filed under the name uncultured bacterium. Its description in RNAcentral is "bacterial SSU rRNA". It matches the Rfam family "Bacterial small subunit ribosomal RNA", at positions 333 to 635 of the family's 1533-position model. The record is from RNAcentral.